GAUGAACGCUGGCGGUAUGCUUAACACAUGCAAGUCGUACGAAGAUAAAAUUGUGCUUGCACGAUUUUAUACUUAGUGGCGGACGGGUGAGUAACACGUAAGAAUCUACCUUUUGGCGAGGGACAACCACUGGAAACGGUGGCUAAUACCUCAUAUAACUGAGAAGUGAAAGAUGAAAAUCACCAAGAGAUGAGCUUGCGUCUGAUUAGCUAGUUGGUAAGGUAAAGGCUUACCAAGGCGACGAUCAGUAGCUGGUCUGAGAGGAUGAUCAGCCACACUGGGACUGAGACACGGCCCAGACUCCUACGGGAGGCAGCAGUGAGGAAUUUUCCGCAAUGGGCGAAAGCCUGACGGAGCAAUACCGCGUGAAGGAUUAAGGCCUAUGGGUUGUAAACUUCUUUUCUCAGAGAAGAAUUUUGACGGUAUCUGAGGAAUAAGCAUCGGCUAACUCUGUG
This 455-nucleotide ribosomal RNA is filed under the name uncultured bacterium. RNAcentral describes it as "bacterial SSU rRNA". It matches the Rfam family "Bacterial small subunit ribosomal RNA", at positions 28 to 507 of the family's 1533-position model. The record is from RNAcentral.